UAAAAAAUGUCCUAGUUCUCGAUAGCUUGUUCUCGGUACUUGUCUAAGCGGUCUCUCAUCUGCAACACGUACUGAAGAAUGCCUUGCUCACCUGCUGCAGAUGUUGUAGGGGCUUCCCAGCUCUUCCUCAGCAGAUCUAGUGGAAUCUGGACAGAGCAUCUGUAAAACAAUUAUAAAGUGAAAACCCUGUUGAUGCUUGGGGUACCUUUCUAUAUGCAAACAACAUGAACGUUGUUAAAAUUUAGUAACUGAAUGUUCCUGACAAGCGGCGUGGACAGAAUAAUAGUAAUGGGAUUACUUAAAUUGCGAGAGCACAAAUGCCAUUCCAAUUAGUGGGGCAGUAGAAAUAGGCCUGUGAAUCUCAUAUCCAAUACCAAUCUGGCAUAAACAGUGACCCUAUCCUGCCAGGGUGAUAACUAAGCAUGAAGAGACUGGUAGGGCACCUAAAUCCUCCUCCCCUAUAUGAUGAACACAGACUGGGUAAGGCUUAUGAGGCUUGUUCACAGUGAUAUGAUCUAGGGGUGGUCCAACAUUACGUGAAAGAGAACCGUUAGUAUAUGACAAUGCCAUCUGAAAAAAUGAGGAAUGAGUGGCAUUCAAAGAACGAUUGUUGAGAAAAUGCCCCAUUCACCAUCGAUAGAGAUUAACACAUCCUUUUGAUGAGAGUAACAUUAAUCAUAGAACUAAGGGAAUGCAGGGAAAAGGGGUUGUCUACUGAAGAUGGCAGAACAAAGUGAGUUGAGAUGUUAUGCUGGUGAGCAGUAAGAUUAGCAUAUUGCCAAAAGGUGUUAUGGGAGUACAGGUGAAGUCCUGUGGUUAGUGUUGGUGCCAGGAGAUACAGAGCCAUAGGUACUAUCAAGACUAGAUAAUAGAGGAGUGGUUUCAUUAGGAGGAUCAAUUUGUAUUUGUUUCCAAGUCUAAUACAAUAAAAUGUGUAUGUGUUAAGUUAAGACGAGAAGAGGCCUCCUAGGGGCUGGUUGACUGUGAAUUUUCUUCUGUCUAGGGUGAGUUUGUUCUAGUUGGGCACCUUUCAGUCUACUUGUGUGGAUCCACUAGGGUUGAGAGUCAGUGAAUAUGGUCGUGCGAGUGACACUUAUCACCGUUGUGGGAAGUCCAAAGGCAGCUUCUCCAACUUUCCUGGGGUUGAGGCUUUUCCCAGUACUGCAUCACCUGGGAGAAAGGGAAACACCAGGGUUACCUUUAGUCCACGAGGUUUGAAAUGGUCUGCCCAUUAUGAUUUCAAAAGGAAAUAAUUGAGACUUUGGAUGUGGCGUCAUUCGAAUCUCACAGAACAGCACUGAAGCUGAAUUUGAUGACGGACCAAAAACUGAGUCUGAUGGAGCUCCUUCAUGUCUGUUUUAAGGAGAUAUAAGAAACAGACUUUUCCAGCUUGAAAAAGGUUUUAUUUAUCUUUGAUGGCUUGGAUGAGUGCUGUUUCUCUCCUGAUUUCCAGAACUCAGUGAGAGUGUGUGAUGUGACAGAGUGUCGCUGACAAACCUGAUCACGAGGAGUCUGCUUCCCUAUGCUCUCAUCUGGAUCACCUCCUGACCAGCAGCAGCUGAUCAAAUCCCCUCUGAGUCUGUCAAUCGAGUGACAGAUGUACGAGGGUUCAUUGACCCACGGAAGGUGGAGUACUUCAGGAAGAGGAUCAGUGAUCCAAGCCUGGCCAAUAACAUCAUCACACACCCGAAGUCAUUAAGAAGCCUCUACAUCCCAGUCUUCUGCUGGAUCUCAGCCACUCUUCUAGAGAGAAUGUUGGGGAAGCAGAGGGUGGAGAGAUCCCCAAGACUCUGGCUCAAAUAUUCACACACUUCCUCAUCAUUCAGACAAACAUCAUAAGAGAAAAGUACUCAAAGUAGAUUGAGAUAGAGAGCGAUAAAUUGAUCAAGGGGAGAGAUAUGAUGCCUGGUUAUAGGUUGAUUGAACUUACUCCUCACAGGUGUUCUGGAACCAGAAAACUCUUCGUAAGCAAGGUUUAGGUUAAUCAACCUAGAGUUCACGGAUUAUGUGAUGGAAAGUUAACCUUGCUUUCUGGAACACCCUGAUGUGUCACACAUCAUGUGUGAUGACUGUUGGUGAGUGAAGCUCAUUUAGAGCUGAAGUUUAAGGUUGCAGGACUUACGACUCAACAGGUGCACUCUCUCUCUCGCACACACACUUUAAUAUUUUGGUUUAUAUCUAGAGCCGUCUCUGUAUAUGACUCUGAGUAUGUUUUUUUGGUACAGUGGAUCUUUGUGACCGAACACACCAAAGUCAGAGAUGAUAACAUUCCCAUCCCCGGAAUUCCUUCUUAUCUAUUUCCCCUCCCUAUUCUUUUCUGUCCUCUCUACAUAAGCAAGGCCUUUCCACUCUGUAGAAUAGACUGCUGUAGACAUUUUUAUAUUUCUGCUGGUGAUCUAAAGACACUCAAACUGAACGAUAAAGACAUGACGUGAAGAUCAAUCCAGUCUCCUGAUCAUCUUUGCUGAAUGUCUAACAUGGCAACACAGCAUCAGUGUUUUGCUGUUGCUUAUCUCUGUCUCCAUCUUUAAAUACUAUUAGAAUCUUCUGGUCUGGAUUAAACCUAAGAAUAUGGCAAUGCUGUGAGGCAGCACAUCUGAUUUAUUCUGUGAUAUCUGAAAUAUUUAGCCCAUUAUACUAGAAUCCUAUUGGUGGACUUUUGCCUGGUCCAUAAUAUCAUCAUUCAAAAUCUAUUGAUGAAUACACUGGUAGUAAUGUAAUUUGAUUAAUAAACUCAUAAAAUAUCCCACAG
Molecule: long non-coding RNA, 2752 nt
Organism: Ictalurus punctatus (channel catfish)
Lineage: Eukaryota; Metazoa; Chordata; Actinopteri; Siluriformes; Ictaluridae
Exons: 3
Source: RefSeq, a predicted model, not a curated record